Molecule: long non-coding RNA, 5015 nt
Filed under: Olea europaea subsp. europaea
Lineage: Eukaryota; Viridiplantae; Streptophyta; Magnoliopsida; Lamiales; Oleaceae
Source: RNAcentral
GUCAUCAACAAAACGACAUAGUUUAACAAUUGAAGAAGACUCAUAACAGACCCCCUUCUUAGGAAACCAUGUCCUCAAUGUUAUGAAAUCGCCUCCUCAGGGUAUCUAGGUCUUCCCAAUUAGCAUCUUCCUCACUGGCCCCAGCCUGUUGUACCAAGACCAAACUCGGGCAACAUUUCCUUUUCUUUUCAACCUCCUUUGCAAGAUUCUCUCGGGGUCGGAUUCCGAGGAGCCUUCGGACGUGAUGAGUUGUAGGUGUGCACAAGCUUGUAUUCCUUCUCCUAGCUUUCUCUUAAGGCACGAAAUAUGAAACACGAGAUAGAUCUUAGCUUCAGGAGGUAGAUUGAGCUCAUAUGCAAGAUGACCCACCCUUCGGAUCACUCUAAAAGGCCCAAAAUAUCUCGGUGCGAUCUUCAAGUUCCUUCGCAUUGCCACUGUCAUUUGCCAAUACGACCGUAACCAAGUCUUCAAUUUCAAUUUCAAACCAAGUCUCCAAUUUCAAACUCUUGGUUCCUUUUUGUUUUAUCAGUGAAAUAUUUCAUCUUUGAUUAGGCUUCCUACAGGUUUUCCUUGAUGAGUUUAGCAAUAAACUCUCGAGUCUAAAGUUCUUCAUCAACAGCUUGCACUUUAGUAGAUCCUACCUCAUAUGGUAACAUUCGAGGUGGUGGCUGACCAUAAACAGCUUCAAAAGAUGUUACCUUCGUGAUGUAUGUACUGAGGUAUUAUAGGAAUACUCAGCUAAAGGUAACCAUUUUGCCCAAUCUUUCGGUCUGUCACUUGAAAAACAUCGGAGAUAGCACUCGAGCACUUUAUUUAUGCCUCUGUUUGGCCAUCCGUUUGGGGAUGAUAGGUCGUGCUAAGUAAUAAAUCUGUUCCACAUAACCUGAAUAGUUCAUUCCAGAAAUUGCUAGUAAACACGGGAUCUCGAUCACUAAUAAUUGUUUGUGAUAACCAGUGUAACCUGAAAACAUUAUCCAUAAAACCUCUAGCCACCGUUAGUGCUAUGUAUGGAUGAUUAAUAGGCAUAAAAUGAGAAUACAUAUUUAGCCUAUCCACCACCACAAGGAUCACUGUCUUUCCCCCUGAGGGGGCAAACCCUUAAUGAAAUUCAUGCUGAUAUGUUCCCAAUUUUUGCUAGGUAUAGUUAAAGGCUGUAGCAACCCCAUAGGAUGGAGGGCUUCAACUUUAUUCCUCUGGCAUACAUCACACUCCUUGAUAUAUGUUAUGACAUCAUUUCGUAGAGCAGGCCAGUAAAACUCCUUUUUUAUUCUUGUGUGGAUUUUUAAUACUCUUGUGUGGCCCCCUAAUGGACUGCUGUGGAACUGGUGCAUGAUUUAUUGCUGGAAGGGAACAAGUGACCCGAGAUGUAGUCUACCCUUGUAAAAGAGUAACUCAUUUCAGAGUUGGUAACGAGUUAGGUCUAAGUCUCCAUGAUGGUAGUGGCUUAGCAACUGCUGCAACAUGGGGUCCUGGAGGCAAGCCUUCUUCAACUCUUCUAUCCAUUGAGCUUGUAAAAUGUUGAUGGCUUGGUUUUGGAUAAUUCGAUUUUUUUGUGUGGUUUGGUUUUUGGUUUAGGAUAGUAUUUGGUCACUGUUUGGGUCUUGGGGUUCUAAAUAUUGUACCCAAGAUAAGGCAUCAGCUACUGCAUUACUCAACACUUCUAUAUUCCACUAUGAAGUCAUACCCAAGCAAUUCAGAGACCCAAUUUUGUUGUGAGGAGGUCCCUAUCCUUUGUUCCAAUAGGUAUUUGAGUGCCUGCUGGUCAGUACGUACCUUGAAGGACUGUCCCAACAGGUAGUGUCUCUAUUUCCUCACUGCCAUCACUAGUGCUAAUAAUUCCAUUUCAUAAGUGGAAAGGUUUAGAUUCCUCUCCUUUAAAGCCUGGCUAAAAUAUGCUAUUGGUUGCCCCUCUUGCAUUAAAACAACUCCCAAUGCUUCCCCUGAUGCAUCACAUUCUACCACAAAAGUUUUAGUGAAAUUAGGUAAGCUAAGCACUUGUGGCCUUACCGUCGCCUCCUUAAGUGUCUCAAAUGCUCCAUGUGCUUGAUCAUUCCAAGAAAAUGAGUUUUUCCUUAGAAGAGUUGUUAGUGGGCUGCUAUUGCUCCAUAUCUCUUAACAAAUUUCCUGUAAUAUCCUGUGAGUCCUAAAAAACCUCUUAGUGCCUUAAGGUUCUUAAGAGUUGGCCAUUCUUGCAUUGCAACCAGCUUUUGAGGAUCUGCUUUAACUCUUUCCUUUGAGAUAAUAUGUCCCAAGUACUCCACCUCUUUACUGCAAAAAACACACUUUGACAGCUUUGCAUAAAACUAGUUAGCUUGUGAUAACUCCAAGACUCUUGCGAGAUGUUUUACAUGCUCUUGCAUAGACUUGCUGUAGACUAAGAUAUCAUCAAAAAACACAAGCACAAACUUCCUCAAAUAGGGUCUAAAUACUUCAUUCAUCACCCCUUGAAAUGUAAAUGGUGCAUUAGUAAGCCCAAAGGGCAUUACUAAAAACUCAUAAUGCCCCUCAUGUGCUCGAAAGGCAGUUUAGGGAUGCCAUUAAGAUUCAUGCGUAUCUGAUCAUAUCCUGAUUUCAAAUCUAAUUUAGAAAACACCUCAGCUCCUCCUAGCUUAUCAAGCAACUCAUCAAUGUUUGGAAUAGGAUACUUAUCUUUUAUGGUCUCCUUGUUGAAUGCAUGAUAAUCCACACAUAUUCUUCAACUCCCACCAGCUUUUCUCACAAGUAGCACCGGAGAAUAAUAGGGACUUUGACUGCUUCUUAUGUUCCCAUUCUUUAGUAACUCAGCUACCAGCUUCUCUAUCUCUUCCUUUUGGUAAUAGGGGUACCUGUAGGGUAUACAAAUGAGUUUAGUACCUUCCAAUAAUUUAAUUUUGUGAUCAAAAUUCCUAGGAAGUGGCAGCUCAAUAGGCUUGGCAAAGACCUCUUUAAAACUGUCUAGAAUUUUUCGCACCUCUGCUGGUUAUGUUGUUCUGUCUUUACCAUUAUUACCAUCGAUGAUUUGCAACCAAAUUCCUCUCACCGACCCCUCCUUAGGUUCAAUAGUAGGAUCUUCCUCCCCAAUAUUGUUCACUGGUCUCUGAAUCCCCUGCAACUGGAGACCUCCAUACUGAAACUUCAUAGUUAAAUCAGAGAAAUUCCAUAAAAUAGAUCCUAACCCACUUAACCAAUCAACCCCUAUAAUGACAUCACAUCCUCCAAGAUUCAACAUAUAUAAUUAUCCAUAAACUUAUGAUCUUGUAACGGAAGAGAGACGACCUUACAUUGACCAAGGCAAGGAAGAGUGGUACCAUUAGCCGCUUGAACUGUUAAGUGGCUUUCUUCCCUUGACAGAUUAGCCUUCCUUGCUACAUAUGGAUCUAUAAAACUAUGAGUGCUUCCUGUAUCAAUCAAAACCAGAACUUUGUAAUGAUUAAUUUCAGCAAACAACCUCAUGGUUUUUAUGGUUAAUGAUCCAGCUAUAGUAUGUAGGGAUAUUCCUAACAACUCCCCAACCUCUCCUUUAGUAGUUCCAACCACAACCAAGGAUUUCUCCUCCCCUUCAGUACCCACGUUGUCCUCUUCUUCUCCUUCCAUCCCUUCCAAAAGGUAAAUUUUGGGUUUAUUACAUCUAUGUCCUGGGUGGUAUUUUUCAUCACAAAACCAGCAUAGUCCAUUUUCUUUCCUUUUUUGUAUUUGAGUGGGAUUGACUCUCUUUAUGGGGAUAUUGGUUCUUUUUGGAUUGUUGAAAGGUUGAUGUUUCUGGUUGGUUUUAUCUGGUAGGGCUAGCAUCAGGAGUCUAGAUGGGUAAUGUGAGUUAGUGGUUGGGUAGGUAGGGAAUUUAUUUAUGUUGCCUUUGACACACAUUAACACCUCCUCUUCUUGUAACCUUGCCAAGCCAAAAGCAGAUGAUAGAGUGGAAGGUUUAAACAUAGUCACAGUGAUUCUCAAGUCAUCUCUUAGCCCACUCAAAAAGGUAUUGAUUCUAAACUCUCCAGAUAAGCCACUUAUUUUGUUAGAUAGCAUUUCAGAUUGUGUUUGAUAUACUUCAACAGUACCAAUUUGUUUAAGUUUAGUGAAUUCCCCAACAGUAUCCUCAUAGGCUGAGGGUCCAAAUCUCACUACUAGGGUUGAAACAAAGUCAUCCCAGGAUUGGACUGGGCUUGAAUCCUUUAGCCAGCUACACCAUGAGAGUGUUUUACCUUCCAUAUGAAAGAAUGCUAUUUGUAAUCUUUGGUCAUCUGGGGUUAUAUAAUAUUCAAAAAACUGUUGUGCUUUUUGAGUCCAUUCCUCCGGAUUAGUACCAUCAAAUUUAGGGAAAUCCAGUCUUAAAGAUCAAGCUUGAAUGCCCCCAUUCCCUUUAAACAAAGGAUUGCUACUGACCUUAGAAUUAGAAGACCCUUCUCCUCAAUUUUGAUUUGCUGCCAAAUGUUCAUAGCUAGAAGCCAAAUUACUGAUUUGUUGAAGAACUGCAGCUAACAUGUCCUUUUGCCGUUCUUGCUCUUCAUGCAGGUUGUUGUUCUCUCCUUUGAGGGUUGCGAUAGCAUCAGCCAAUUGAGCAUGGCGAGUACCGUCAACCGUGGCGCUAGAAACGCAACUCUGAUACCACUAUUAUGCCCCAAAAUUAUACGUAAUAGUAAGUAAAUAAAUGGGUGAUAAUUUGAGGUUACCAGGCCUCCUGUAAGUCUGUAAAUUUGAUUAAACUGAUGAUGAUCUUUUCAUUGAACUGAAAUAGCAUAGGCCACGGACAAUGACCUGUUACACGACAUGGGGCAUAGCCCAUUACUUACGAAAAUAAACAACUGACCCAGUAAACAAUAACUAACCCAUAACAAAAUGAAAUAAGGGGUACUUACAAAAAUACCCUAUAUUUUUGGGUUGUUUUGAAAAAAAAUUAUAAACUUGGAUUAAAUGGUAAUUACUUAAAAUUGAAUGUAAAAUAUACGCUCAAAACCUAAACUCACGACAAUCCUCAUAAAUCAGCCUCCAAAAUGAAAAAAAUCAAAGAAAAAUUGAAAGGAAAAAGAGGAAAUCUUCCA